GAUGAACGCUGGCGGCGUGCCUAAUACAUGCAAGUCGAGCGAACAGACGAGGAGCUUGCUCCUCUGACGUUAGCGGCGGACAGGUGAGUAACACGUGGAUAACCUACCUAUAAGACUGGGAUAACUUCGGGAAACCGGAGCUAAUACCGGAGAAUAUAUUGAACCGCAUGGUUCAAUAGUGAAAGACGGUUUUGCUGUCACUUAUAGAUGGAUCCGCGCCGCAUUAGCUAGUUGGUAAGGUAACGGCUUACCAAGGCGACGAUGCGUAGCCGACCUGAGAGGGUGAUCGGCCACACUGGAACUGAGACACGGUCCAGACUCCUACGGGAGGCAGCAGUAGGGAAUCUUCCGCAAAGGGCGAAAGCCUGACGGAGCAACGCCGCGUGAGUGAUGAAGGUCUUCGGAUCGUAAAACUCUGUUAUUAGGGAAGAACAAAUGUGUAAGUAACUAUGCACGUCUUGACGGUACCUAAUCAGAAAGCCACGGCUAACUACGUG
This 497-nucleotide ribosomal RNA is filed under the name uncultured bacterium. RNAcentral's name for it is "partial 16S ribosomal RNA". It matches the Rfam family "Bacterial small subunit ribosomal RNA", at positions 28 to 507 of the family's 1533-position model. The record is from RNAcentral.